CCUACGGGUGGCAGCAGUGAGGAAUAUUGGUCAAUGGACGAGAGUCUGAACCAGCCAAGCAGCGUGAAGGAUGACUGCGCCAUGCGUUGUAAACUUCUUUUAUCAAGGGAUAAAACGAGGCACGUGUGCCUGAUUGAAGGUACUUGAUGAAUAAGGAUCGGCUAACUCCGUGCCAGCAGCCGCGGUAAUACGGAGGAUGCGAGCGUUAUCCGGAUUUAUUGGGUUUAAAGGGAGCGUAGAUGGGUUGUUAAGUCAGUUGUGAAAGUUUGGGGCUCAACCGUAAAAUAGCAAUUGAUACUGGCAGUCUUGAGUACAGUUGAGGUAGGCGGAAUGCGUGGUGUAGCGGUGAAAUGCUUAGAUAUCACGAAGAACCCCGAUUGCGAAGGCAGCAUAC
Molecule: ribosomal RNA, 394 nt
Filed under: uncultured bacterium
Lineage: Bacteria
Description: partial 16S ribosomal RNA
Rfam family: Bacterial small subunit ribosomal RNA
Source: RNAcentral